GAUGAAGAACGCAGCGAAAUGCGAUAAUUAAUGUGAAUUGCAGAAUUCAGUGAAUCAUCGAGUCUUUGAACGCACAUUGCGCCCCCUGGUAUUCCGGGGGGCAUGCCUGUCCGAGCGUCAUUGCCGCCCUCAAGCACGGCUUGUGUGUUGGGCCCCCGCCCCCCGGCUUCGGGGGGCGGGCCCGAAAGGCAGCGGCGGCACCGCGUCCGGUCCUCGAGCGUAUGGGGCUUCGUCACCCGCUCUGUAGGCCCGGCCGGCGCCCGCCGGCGACCCCAAUCAAUCUUUCCAGGUUGACCUCGGAUCAGGUAGGGAUACCCGCUGAACUUAAGCAUAUCAAUAAGCGGAGGA
Molecule: unclassified non-coding RNA, 348 nt
Filed under: soil metagenome
Description: partial contains 5.8S ribosomal RNA, internal transcribed spacer 2, and large subunit ribosomal RNA
Rfam family: 5.8S ribosomal RNA (bases 1-120)
Source: RNAcentral